UCCGCUUGCAGGCUGCGGGCGAGCGCGGGCGGGCGGGCCGGCGAGAGGGACGCGGCGCCACCGCGCGGCCGGACAGGAGAAGACAGGCCACGUGUCCCGGAGCGCCGAGACAUCAGGAAACACAGAAAUGCGGGAAACGCGAGAGAUGGAGAGAUGACACGGGGACAGGGCCAAAAAGACAAGGAGACACAGAGAGCAGGAGGCAGCAAGAAGGCGCCCACACCUGGGAGAUGUUGGAGGAAAUAACCCGGAAACCCUACAUCAGGCUGAGACCAAGGCCUGGCAUCCCUCAGGUCCCCCAGGGAACUUCUGGAGCAGGAGAAUUGCAAGACCAACCCUCCCUCUGCCAGAACCACCUGGCCCAGAUGAUGGGGAAGGCGUAGGAGGCCGCGCUAUGGGGAAUCUUCCUGACCCAGGGAUCGAACUCAUGUUUGCCUGUAUCUCCUGCAUUGCAGGCAGAUUCUUUACCACUGAGCCACUUGGGAAACCCCCUGUGGUGGGUAGAAGCUUGCAAAGGAGAAGUGGCAGCAUCUGAGUGGUGGAGCUAGGGUGGAGCCUAUGGUCGUGCUCCCCCCUGCACCAGCUCCAAAGUGGGCCCCUCCCCUCAAUGCUGUGGGGCCAGCGGAUAGAAAACAUGAUCUUCACCAGCCAAAGCUGGCUACCUCCACCUGGGGACUGGCAUCAGCAAAAUCUCCAUCAGGGUCUCAAUUCCUUGACCACACACCAGUCAGGGACAGUGGGUGGUGGACGCCCACCCCAUCCUGCCUUCCCACAAACCGCUUGCCCCAGCGACUCUGUCACUCCCAGAGUGGCUGGUGGCACGGGCUAUACUAGCAGAUCUCCGCUACCAGCCCUGGUAGCCUGCUGGGACCAUGUACCAAGCUGGUUUUUUUUUUGGUUCCGGAACAGUCUGAACCAGAUGACAUGCCAGA
Molecule: long non-coding RNA, 932 nt
Organism: Capra hircus (goat)
Lineage: Eukaryota; Metazoa; Chordata; Mammalia; Artiodactyla; Bovidae
Exons: 4
Source: RefSeq, a predicted model, not a curated record